Molecule: long non-coding RNA, 367 nt
Organism: Daucus carota subsp. sativus
Lineage: Eukaryota; Viridiplantae; Streptophyta; Magnoliopsida; Apiales; Apiaceae
Exons: 2
Source: RefSeq, a predicted model, not a curated record
UAGAUUUGUGUACGAGAGAGAACAGAGGCGGCGACUCCAGCUCAACUUCAAUCAUCAAUCUUCAAUCAAAUCGACUCCAGCUCAACUUCAAUCAUCAAUCUUCAAUCAAAUCAAGAUCUCCAGCUCAACUAUUUCGUUUGUAAUGGAGUUUAUGUCAAACUCGGCUACAACUACAAGUACAGGAGGCUCUAAUUCUGUCAGCCAACCAUCACAAAGUAUGCCAGUGGAAGAAAACACAUUGUGGAGGCAUGUUACUAAAGUUGCAGUAGCCAAAGAAAGAGGGGGAAACACUAAAUUUCGAUGCAAUUUCUGCACUAGUUAUUUAUGUAUUUUAGUUAUCAAGACUUAAGGAUGAUUAAUUUAGUUA